GCUACGGGUGGCUGCAGUGAGGAAUAUUGGUCAAUGGGCGAGAGCCUGAACCAGCCAAGUCGCGUGAAGGAUGACGGCCCUACGGGUUGUAAACUUCUUUUGUCAGGGAGCAAUUGAGUCCACGUGUGGGCUUAGCGAGAGUACCUGAAGAAAACGCAUCGGCUAACUCCGUGCCAGCAGCCGCGGUAAUACGGAGGAUGCGAGCCUUAUCCGGAUUGAGUGGGUUUAAAGGGUGCGUAGGCGGAAUAUCAAGUCAGCGGUAAAAAUUCGGGGCUCAACAACGUCGUGUCGUUGAAACUGAUGUUAUUGCGUGGGCGAGAAGUAUGCGGAAUGCGUGGUGUAGCGG
RNAcentral lists this ribosomal RNA (346 nucleotides) under uncultured bacterium. Its description in RNAcentral is "partial 16S ribosomal RNA". It matches the Rfam family "Bacterial small subunit ribosomal RNA", at positions 338 to 681 of the family's 1533-position model. The record is from RNAcentral.